CACCCUUUAAUGUUUGAUGUUCUAACGUUGACCCGUAAUCCGGGUUGCGGACAGUGUCUGGUGGGUAGUUUGACUGGGGCGGUCUCCUCCUAAAGAGUAACGGAGGAGCACGAAGGUUGGCUAAUCCUGGUCGGACAUCAGGAGGUUAGUGCAAUGGCAUAAGCCAGCUUGACUGCGAGCGUGACGGCGCGAGCAGGUGCGAAAGCAGGUCAUAGUGAUCCGGUGGUUCUGAAUGGAAGGGCCAUCGCUCAACGGAUAAAAGGUACUCCGGGGAUAACAGGCUGAUACCGCCCAAGAGUUCAUAUCGACGGCGGUGUUUGGCACCUCGAUGUCGGCUCAUCACAUCCUGGGGCUGAAGUAGGUCCCAAGGGUAUGGCUGUUCGCCAUUUAAAGUGGUACGCGAGCUGGGUUUAGAACGUCGUGAGACAGUUCGGUCCCUAUCUGCCGUGGGCGCUGGAGAACUGAGGGGGGCUGCUCCUAGUACGAGAGGACCGGAGUGGACGCAUCACUGGUGUUCGGGUUGUCAUGCCAAUGGCACUGCCCGGUAGCUAAAUGCGGAAGAGAUAAGUGCUGAAAGCAUCUAAGCACGAAACUUGCCCCGAGAUGAGUUCUCCCUGACUCCUUGAGAGUCCUGAAGGAACGUU
Molecule: ribosomal RNA, 644 nt
Filed under: Shigella dysenteriae
Lineage: Bacteria; Pseudomonadati; Pseudomonadota; Gammaproteobacteria; Enterobacterales; Enterobacteriaceae
Description: partial 23S ribosomal RNA
Rfam family: Bacterial large subunit ribosomal RNA
Source: RNAcentral